CCUACGGGCGGCAGCAGUGGGGAAUAUUGCACCAUGGGCGCAAGCCUGAUGCAGCCAUGCCGCGUGUGUGAAGAAGGCCUUCGGGUUGUAAAGCACUUUCAGCGGGGAGGAAGGCGGUGAGGUUAAUAACCUCAUCGAUUGACGUUACCCGCAGAAGAAGCACCGGCUAACUCCGUGCCAGCAGCCGCGGUAAUACGGAGGGUGCAAGCGUUAAUCGGAAUUACUGGGCGUAAAGCGCACGCAGGCGGUCUGUCAAGUCGGAUGUGAAAUCCCGGGCUCAACCUGGGAACUGCAUUCGAAACUGGCAGGCUAGAGUCUUGUAGAGGGGGGUAGAAUUCCAGGUGUAGCGGUGAAAUGCGUAGAGAUCUGGAGGAAUACCGGUGGCGAAGGCGGCCCCCUGGACAAAGACUGACGCUCAGGUGCGAAAGCGUGGGGAGCAAACAGGAUUAGAUACCCUAGUAGUC
RNAcentral lists this ribosomal RNA (464 nucleotides) under uncultured Klebsiella sp. Its description in RNAcentral is "bacterial SSU rRNA". It matches the Rfam family "Bacterial small subunit ribosomal RNA", at positions 338 to 795 of the family's 1533-position model. The record is from RNAcentral. Lineage: Bacteria; Pseudomonadati; Pseudomonadota; Gammaproteobacteria; Enterobacterales; Enterobacteriaceae.